Molecule: non-coding RNA, 29 nt
Filed under: Rattus norvegicus (Norway rat)
Lineage: Eukaryota; Metazoa; Chordata; Mammalia; Rodentia; Muridae
Source: RNAcentral
GCCUUCAGCAUAAGGACUUUGGGGGAAGA